GGGGCAGUAGCUCAGUGGUAGAGCUCCCGCCUCGCAUAUGGGAAGACCUGGGUUCGAUUUCCGGCUGCUUAC
Molecule: transfer RNA, 72 nt
Filed under: Toxocara canis (dog roundworm)
Lineage: Eukaryota; Metazoa; Nematoda; Chromadorea; Rhabditida; Toxocaridae
Rfam family: tRNA
About the family: Transfer RNA (tRNA) molecules are approximately 80 nucleotides in length. Their secondary structure includes four short double-helical elements and three loops (D, anti-codon, and T loops).
Source: Rfam by way of RNAcentral